This 297-nucleotide ribosomal RNA is filed under the name uncultured bacterium. Its description in RNAcentral is "partial 16S ribosomal RNA". It matches the Rfam family "Bacterial small subunit ribosomal RNA", at positions 198 to 509 of the family's 1533-position model. The record is from RNAcentral.
UUAUCAAAGAUUUAUCGCUCGGAGAUGGACUCGCGUCCGAUUAGUUAGUUUGGUUGAGGUUAAACGGGCUCACCAAGACCGCGAUCGGUAGCCGGACUGAGAGGUUGAACGGCCACAUUGGGACUGAGACACGGCCCAGACUCCUACGGGAGGCAGCAGUGGGGGAUAUUGCGCAAUGGGGGCAACCCUGACGCAGCAACGCCGCGUGAAGGAUGAAGGUUUUCGGAUUGUAAACUUCUUUUAUCAGGGACGAAUUUUGACGGUACCUGAUGAAUAAGCUCCGGCUAACUACGUGCC